UAUAAAUUACGAAAGCAAAAAAUUAUGGCGGUAUCUUAAGCUUUUCAGAGGAAUUUGCUCUUUAAUGGAUAAAACACCCAAAUCUUACUUAGAUUGGUUAAAUCAGUUUGUAUACCACUAUAAAAAUUAUAAUUUACUUUUAUUAUUUCUCUUCUUUAAAGAAAUAAAUUAAGUCAAGGUGCAGCUAAAAUUUAAGGUUGAAGUGAAUUACAUUUCUUUAAAGAAAUGAAACAAUGAAAUAAAAUAUAGGAUUUGAUAGUAAAAUUAAAAUAGAAAGUUAA
RNAcentral lists this ribosomal RNA (281 nucleotides) under Hyalomma dromedarii. RNAcentral's name for it is "partial small subunit ribosomal RNA". Lineage: Eukaryota; Metazoa; Arthropoda; Arachnida; Ixodida; Ixodidae. The record is from RNAcentral.